UUGGGGCGCUCAUACACCCCAAAACGCGUCUUGCCAAUUAAGGUGUGGAUCACCCCUUAUAAACCCAGCAUCUCUCCCGUGCUUUGCCGAUGUGGGAUUCGCCUAGGGUGUUACAUACACCCCCCCUUGGGGACUCAGCGUCCUCGCUGAGGUUUGCCCCACCAUCGCUCAAGAGGACACGCGGAGCCGCUCUGAUACCACAAUGUCAUGACCCAACCUAGACCUGACAAGAUAUUGUCCGUUUUCUCUGAUACCACAAUGUCAUGACCCAACCCAGACCUGGCAAGAUAUUGUCCGCUUUGGGCCUUAACAAGGCCCGCACGGAUUUGUUCUUGGGGCGCCCAUACACCCCAAAACGCGUCUUGCCAAUUAAGGUGUGGAUCACCCCUUAUAAACCCAGCAUCUCUCCC
RNAcentral lists this long non-coding RNA (410 nucleotides) under Citrus sinensis (sweet orange). RNAcentral describes it as "long non-coding RNA (CSIN_LNC003056)". The record is from RNAcentral. Lineage: Eukaryota; Viridiplantae; Streptophyta; Magnoliopsida; Sapindales; Rutaceae.